UUCCCAGGGAAGGAAACAUUCACAGGUUUCUGAGAUUAGGACAUGGAUAUUUUAGGGCCAUUAUUUGGCCUCCCACAGAACCUAAACAUGCUUAGACCCCCCUCCUUAAGGAUUCUAGUUUAGUAGGUGGGGCCAGGACAUGUAUAUUUUUCAAAAUAUGUGCCUGAUUAAGCAUCUCUCAUCUAGCACAUAGCUUUAUCCAACCUUCAGUUGCUUAUAAUUUUAUCUCUGACGUUUUAUUUAGAUGGCUCCAAUGCUGACUGGGCAGCACAUACACCAAGAAUUUGACUACUGGCUAUCUCCUUGAACCCUCAUGUGCUUUCAAAGUAGCUAAUGAGGCCUAGAGUUGCCACCAGGCCUGCUAAGGCAACCACAGCCACCACAGUCUUAAAAGCAGCAUAUCCGGCUGCCCCGUGCCCUUUCAAGUCCACAGCGUCUGGUGCUCUGCGGGCCUGCCAUGAAACCAGAGUUCCUUGAAAUUGGCUCCAGGUGAGUAAAUUGGUGUUUUUCUCCAUAACACUGGGCAAAAUUAGUUUCUUUGGGCGAAAUAUUUACAACUCCAAUGUAGAGUGAAAGAAGGUGGUGGGUUUUAUUGAGGAAAGAAUAUCUUUUGUUCGUAUCACCUUUCCUUGAAGUAACCCCUAGUCUCCUGGCUAUGGUGGACAUUACCCUGGCAAUGUAAUGUACCUGUAAAGUACCUUUACAGAAAAUGGAUGGUAUAUUUCCCCCAAGUAUAAAAGUUUAAGCAUACUGCAAAAAAUGCAGACAAUUAGAGAAGGAUAUAGAGAAAAGGAAAAAGUCAUCUGUAACUGUUCCACUGCUAAUAUUUAGAUAUGUAACUUUAUGGACUUUUUAUACAAACACCACACACACUUAAAACCAACAACCCAGAAUCAAAGUUUAAGUUAUGCUUUGUAACCUGAUUUUACUAUUUUACAUGUCAUGGACAUUUUUUGUAUCAAACAUAAAGAUCUCCAUUACCAUUUUUAAGGUUGCAUUAUGUUCAGUGUGUAGAUAAAUCAGUGUUUAACUGUUCCCAAUGAUAGACAUUACAAAAACUUUCAAUUUUUCAUCAUCAUAAACCAUAAUAUGAUGGACAUUCUUGUAUAUUUCCCUGGUUAACGCUUGGGAUGAAUUCCUGGAGGUAGAAAUUCUGGGUCAAAGAGAGUAGUGAUGUAAAUAAGGAUGUCAUCUUUUUGUACCAGCGGGGAGUUUACACGUGGGGAAACUGAGGCAAAGCAACCUGCCCAGCCUAUUGAAAGCUGGGUGUCAGAGCCAUGUUGAGAACUCAGAUUUUCUAAGGCCCAACCAAUGUACCUUUUCAGCAUCUCUCAUUGCAAUUUGAGACACCUAGAUGUUUGAGAUCCAUGUUCUAUUAAUAAGCGGUUAGUGUUCAAAUUCUGUACAAGUCGUGGGAUCGCAUUUGCAAUUAUUGAUGUAUGUGUUGUCCUUGUGUAGUUACUUUAAGAGUAAUCGCCACGCCUUGUUACAGGUGUCUGAUAUUCAGUUGGAGGUUAGAGGAGUAUUUCCCCAACUUCCUUGAUCAAAACGUCACAUGCGGCUCUCAUUAACAGCACAAAUUCCUGGGUCUCACCAAAAGCUGUGGAAUCAGGCUCUUCAGGGGAGGGUCCCGAGUGGAUGUAUUGUUUAACAAGCACCACAGAUGAGUCUUAAGAUCAAGGAAAUUUGGCAAAUACUCUGAGGGAGGGAGGCAAGAAAAUGAGUGGUUGCUAGCAGUUAACUUCUUCAUAGGAAUUAACCCAUUAUGUUAUAUGGAAUUGAGGAGUGGAAGCAAAAGCCAGGAUAAACAGGUUUCUGGGAGUAGAGAUGGUGAAAGGAUUUAGAUUCUGAGCAGAGGCACGAUAGCAAUAGUUACUCCUUUCCUCUGAAGCAUAUUUUCCAAAAAGUGACACCUUUUCUGCAAAUGUGAAAGUAUUCUACCAUGAUGGUAGUAGAGGAUGGAGCGUGGGGGGAAGAUUCAGAGAGACCUGGUAAGAAGGUGGUCAGAGAGGCAAUAGGCUAAUGUGUUGCUCUACCUUCUGAGGCCACACCCCCAGGCUCCCAGCCCCCAAAUUGUGUUUUUUCUCCAGAGUGUGAUGUCUUGCCGUAGAAAGGGCACCUCUGGUCUCAGCCCCAAACUGGGGGUUCUGGGAGACUAAGGGCAGCACAAAAGCCCUGAGCAGGAGGCAUGGAAAGGAGGAGGACCACUGUGGGUGCUGGUGAAGUUGGUGAGCACACCAGAGACUAAUUUCAUUAGCACACUUUGCUAAUCACUACAAGGCAUUCCCUCCCCCUCCGAAUGGGUCUCUCCCAGAGGGUCCUGAGGUCACUUAACCACUUGCUAAUCACCAGGCAUUUCUUGAAGGGAAUUUUAGGUUGUUAUGCAUAAAGAACAAGGCCGUGUUGUUGCCUCAUUUAGGCAGGUGCCCUCCUUACUUCUGAAAAACAGUUCUUAUAAGCACCAGUUUACAAUUCUUAAAUUCCAG
This 2486-nucleotide long non-coding RNA is filed under the name Ailuropoda melanoleuca (giant panda). RNAcentral describes it as "lncRNA (ENSAMEG00000027485.1)". The record is from RNAcentral. Lineage: Eukaryota; Metazoa; Chordata; Mammalia; Carnivora; Ursidae.